RNAcentral lists this ribosomal RNA (253 nucleotides) under uncultured bacterium. RNAcentral describes it as "partial 16S ribosomal RNA". It matches the Rfam family "Bacterial small subunit ribosomal RNA", at positions 524 to 776 of the family's 1533-position model. The record is from RNAcentral.
UACGUAGGGUGCAAGCGUUGUCCGGAAUUAUUGGGCGUAAAGAGCUCGUAGGCGGUUUGUCGCGUCUGCUGUGAAAACCCGAGGCUCAACCUCGGGCCUGCAGUGGGUACGGGCAGACUAGAGUGCGGUAGGGGAGAUUGGAAUUCCUGGUGUAGCGGUGGAAUGCGCAGAUAUCAGGAGGAACACCAGUGGCGAAAGCGGCUCUCUGGGGAUUACCUGACGCUGAGGCGCGAAAGCGUGGGGAGCGAACCGG